RNAcentral lists this ribosomal RNA (406 nucleotides) under uncultured bacterium. RNAcentral describes it as "partial 16S ribosomal RNA". It matches the Rfam family "Bacterial small subunit ribosomal RNA", at positions 30 to 526 of the family's 1533-position model. The record is from RNAcentral.
AUUGAACGCUGGCGGCAGGCCUAACACAUGCAAGUCGAACGAGUGGCGGACGGGUGAGUAAUGUCUGGGCAACUGCCUGAUGGAGGGGGAUAACUCCUGGAAAAGGUAGCUAAUACCGCAUACCCUCAGAUGUGCCCAGAUGGGAUUAGCUAGUUGGUGGGGUAACGGAUCACCAAGGCGACGAUCCCUAGCUGGUCUGCGAGGGUGACCAGCCACACUGGAACUGAGACACGGUCCAGACUCCUACGGGAGGCAGCAGUGGGGAAUAUUGCACAAUGGGCGCAAGCCUGAUGCAGCCAUGCCGCGUGUAUGAAGAAGGCCUUCGGGUUGUAAAGUACUGUCAGCGGGGAGGCGUUACCCGCAGAAGAAGCACCGGCUAACUCCGUGCCAGCAGCCGCGGUAAUUC